Long non-coding RNA from Suricata suricatta (meerkat), 2351 nucleotides. RefSeq lists it as uncharacterized. Lineage: Eukaryota; Metazoa; Chordata; Mammalia; Carnivora; Herpestidae. The record is from RefSeq and is a predicted model, not a curated record. The transcript has 3 exons.
ACAUCCUGAGAAAAACAGACAGACAGACUCAGAAGCCUACUCCCCUGCCUCCUACCUGAAGGGAAACACCCCUCCUGGCAGAAAAAGAAGGUCAAGAAGCCUCCGCUAAUCUUGAAAACGCCGUGCCACGGGACAGACAGACACUCGUCCAGGACACAGAGGCUGACCGGCGGGUAAUUCACAGGAAAACUCGAGCCAGAGGGGAGGGGACGGGCUAGGGUCCUCAAGCCAGGAUAGUCCCUGGGGGAAGGCUACGUGAAAAGUCAUCACAGGAAGGCUUCUAGAAAGGAGUAAGAGGUGAAGCUCUAGUGUCAGGACAGUCUUCGGUGCCCCAGGUGGAAAGGGUGACACAAAGCUGAAAGGUCUGUGUACAGACAGGAGACCUGCGCAGGAAGAAUGGCCUGAAUGAGGCCAAGGUCAGUGCUCCUGGCUUCCACCCAGGGGAGGCGGCCCACCAAGGAGGCUGCCCCCUGGACAGUCCGCCUGCAGAGAACAGACUCCUCUUAUCUGUUUGAAUGCGAAAACAUCAAUGGGGAGGAAAACGGGAGUUUGGGGAACUGACCCUUUGAGGGGGUUCCAUCCCUCCCUCCCUCCGACUACAGCUCCGUCUACAAUCCCAGAACAGAAGAAACCUUUCUCUUCCCUCAACAUCGUCACCCUACAUCACGUGCUUGCUUGGAUGAACCCAAACUCCACGAGCCACGUGCGGGUCUUGCUAGACUCCCCCGACCCAGCAGAACACGGCGGCCAGAGCUAGAGGCGGAGCCUUGCCCCUCGAGCCCACUGGCAGACGUCACUGACCUAUGAGGGGGUCGGUGACGUGGGUCCAGUCGAUGCAGCACUGCAGCUCCAGCUGGUAGUGGGACUGGAUAUAGAGAAGCAGGUGCUGGUAGAAGCCAAUCCCCGCAACCAGGUGUGUCCUGUAAGCGCACUCCAAGGUGCUGCGGCUGUGGAUGUGCUGGGCGUCGGGAAAGGGAAGGGCUGGCUAAGCAAGCCGCUCAGAGGACGGCCCCCUCCUGCACGAGGAACUUCUGUUCUCGGCUCGAACCGCGUCCACACCUCUCGCUCACGAGCUACCCCACACCCACUUCUCCGGCCGGACCGCCUGGGGCGAGGCGCCUCCCCUCCCCCUCCAGAUUACACCGGACGCCCUCCCUCCUCUCUGCCUUGGCUCCUCUUUCUCCAGCCAUGUCCUGGCCCACUUUCUGGCUGCUGCUUCCCUUCUUGGCCUCCUCUUCAGACACAUCUCGUCUCAAGAUCUAGGACGUCCCCUUACCUUCUUGUUGGUCUUGAUGAGCUGAAUGACUUCGUAGUACACCUUUCUCCACAGCAGCUCUUCAGCCUUCCUCCCAUAGUCCACUGGGUGCAGGAACAUUAGCUUGACGCAGAGCUCACGCAGCCUGAGGGCACAGACAGGCACAAGACACUGACCGCCCUGGGUGGAGAGAGGAGGCCUUUGCCAACACCUGACCGACACAUCCCUGUGCCUCCUGACAGACACCCAGGGUCCGUCUGCAUGACCCAGGACAAACCCGGGUCUGCGGGGCAAGGGGGGGCCCCAAGGGACAGAGGCAGGAGCAGGAAGAACUUCAGUAAUCAUCUUUUUCCCUGCAGACUUCUCUUUUUUCUGCCUUUUUACCCAUCUUUCUUUCCUGUCAUUAAGCUGCACGGCCAGCUGCCCCAACACAAAUGCCAUCCGUAUGGCCCUGUUAGAUGCAGGGGCUUCACGGAGAACUAGGGGCCCCCAUGUCUUUGUCCAGAAAGGCCACAGCUCCCAGCCCAUUAUUCUACCGCGAGGUCAGGAGGUAAGAGGCUGGGUGCCUGUUUAUACGCCACGGUUCCAGGCGGGCAGGGGGACAGAACCGUCAGCAUCUGCGGUUCUGCAGCCUCCAGCUUACUUGUUCCUCAGGCUGAUGUUCUCCGGUUUGAACACUUCUUGAUAAGCAGUUUUGUUGCAAAGGAUGAGGUCAAGUCGAUGCACAGCCUCCACCACAGCCCUGGAGGGAAACACAGGCACAUGGUCCCUGAGCCAUGCGCGUGUCCACGCCAGCUGGGCCGCUGAUCCAGAGGACGACAGAGUUAGGGGCAGGGGGUGGGCAGGCUGCAGGCGGGGCCGCACAAAAUGAGAUGAACACAGUCUCCCUCUCUACAUAACAGCCCCUACCCCAGGGGACGUCUGGCAGCAGCAGACAUUUCUCAGGGACUCUCCUGCGGCAGGGGUUUGAGGGCAUGGGAGGAGUUGCUACUGGCAUUUAGCAGGUGCUGCGACCCCCCGACGAUUCACAGGACAGCCACCGCAGUAACCGCCCAGCCCCAAAGGUCAACAGUGUCAAAGCAGAGAAACCCUGUGA